UACGGAGGAUGCGAGCGUUAUCCGGAUUUAUUGGGUUUAAAGGGUGCGUAGGCGGAUCGUUAAGUCAGUGGUCAAAUUGAGGGGCUCAACCCCUUCCCGCCAUUGAAACUGGCGAUCUUGAGUGGAAGAGAAGUAUGCGGAAUGCGUGGUGUAGCGGUGAGAUGCAUAGAUAUCACGCAGAACCCCGAUUGCGAAGGCAGCAUGCCGGCUUCCUACUGACGCUGAAGCACGAAAGCGUGGGGAUCGAACAGG
Molecule: ribosomal RNA, 252 nt
Filed under: uncultured bacterium
Lineage: Bacteria
Description: partial 16S ribosomal RNA
Rfam family: Bacterial small subunit ribosomal RNA
Source: RNAcentral